Molecule: transfer RNA, 74 nt
Filed under: Portunus trituberculatus (swimming crab)
Lineage: Eukaryota; Metazoa; Arthropoda; Malacostraca; Decapoda; Portunidae
Description: tRNA-Gly
Rfam family: tRNA
About the family: Transfer RNA (tRNA) molecules are approximately 80 nucleotides in length.
Source: RNAcentral
CGCCCGGUAGCUCAGCUGUUAGAGCACUGGCUUCCCAAGCCAGAGGACCGGGGUUCGAUUCCCCGGGCGGGUGG